This 811-nucleotide ribosomal RNA is filed under the name uncultured Sphingobacteriia bacterium. RNAcentral describes it as "bacterial SSU rRNA". It matches the Rfam family "Bacterial small subunit ribosomal RNA", at positions 62 to 867 of the family's 1533-position model. Lineage: Bacteria; Pseudomonadati; Bacteroidota; Sphingobacteriia. The record is from RNAcentral.
UCGAGGGGCAGCAGGUCCGUAGCAAUACGGAUGCUGGCGACCGGCAAACGGGUGCGGAACACGUACACAACCUUCCUUUAAGUGGGGAAUAGCCCGGGGAAACCCGGAUUAAUACCCCGUAAUAUAAUGAGGUGGCAUCACUUUAUUAUUAUAGCUCCGGCGCUUGAAGAUGGGUGUGCGACUGAUUAGGCAGUUGGCGGGGUAACGGCCCACCAAACCUACGAUCAGUAACUGGUGUGAGAGCACGACCAGUCACACGGGCACUGAGACACGGGCCCGACUCCUACGGGAGGCAGCAGUAAGGAAUAUUGGUCAAUGGACGCAAGUCUGAACCAGCCAUGCCGCGUGGAGGAUGAAGGUCCUCUGGAUUGUAAACUUCUUUUAUCUGGGAAGAAACCCACGAAUUCUUUUGUGGUUGACGGUACCAGAUGAAUAAGCACCGGCUAACUCCGUGCCAGCAGCCGCGGUAAUACGGAGGGUGCAAGCGUUAUCCGGAUUCACUGGGUUUAAAGGGUGCGUAGGUGGGCAGGUAAGUCAGUGGUGAAAUCUCUGGGCUUAACUCAGAAACUGCCAUUGAUACUAUCUUUCUUGAAUACCGUGGAGGUCAGCGGAAUAUGUCAUGUAGCGGUGAAAUGCUUAGAUAUGACAUAGAACACCAAUUGCGAAGGCAGCUGGCUACACGAAUAUUGACACUGAUGCACGAAAGCGUGGGGAUCAAACAGGAUUAGAUACCCUGGUAGUCCACGCCCUAAACGAUGGAUACUCGACAUACGCGAUAUACUGUGUGUGUCUGAGCGAAAGCAUUAAGUAU